CCUACGGGCGGCAGCAGUGAGGAAUAUUGGUCAAUGGCCGAGAGCCUGAACCAGCCAAGUAGCGUGAAGGAAGACUGCCCUACGGGUUGUAAACCUCUUUUGUCGAGGAAUAAAACGAGUCACGUGUGCCUUUUUGCGUGUACUUGAUGAAAAAGGAUCGGCUAACUCCGUGCCAGCAGCCGCGGUAAUACGGAGGAUGCGAGCGUUAUCCGGAUUUAUUGGGUUUAAAGGGUGCGCAGGGGGAGGUGCAAGUCAGCGGUAAAAUUUCGGGGCCAAACCCCAUACUGCCGUUGAAACUGGAAGCCUUGAGUGCGCGAGAGGUAGGCGGAAUGCGUGGUGUAGCGGUGAAAUGCAUAGAUAUCACGCAGAACUCCGAUUGCGAAGGCAGCAUACCGGCGCGCAACUGACGCUGAUGCACGAAAGCGUGGGUAUCGAACAGGAUUAGAUACCCCAGUAGUC
This 459-nucleotide ribosomal RNA is filed under the name uncultured bacterium. Its description in RNAcentral is "partial 16S ribosomal RNA". It matches the Rfam family "Bacterial small subunit ribosomal RNA", at positions 338 to 795 of the family's 1533-position model. The record is from RNAcentral.